RNAcentral lists this ribosomal RNA (237 nucleotides) under uncultured bacterium. RNAcentral describes it as "partial 16S ribosomal RNA". It matches the Rfam family "Bacterial small subunit ribosomal RNA", at positions 15 to 236 of the family's 1533-position model. The record is from RNAcentral.
GAUCAUGGCUCAGGAUGAACGCUGGCGGCGUGCCUAACACAUGCAAGUCGAGCGAGAAACUUUAAAUGAAGCUCGGUCGAAUUUAAAAGCGGAAAGCGGCGGACGGGUGAGUAACGCGUAGGCAACCUGCCCUUUGCAGAGGGGUAGCAUCUGGAAACGGAUAUUAAUACCUCAUAAUACUAAACUAUCACAUGAUAGAGUAGUCAAAAGAUUUAUCGGCAAAGGAUGGGCCUGCGU